This is a long non-coding RNA of Bradysia coprophila, 361 nucleotides long. The record is from RefSeq and is a predicted model, not a curated record. Lineage: Eukaryota; Metazoa; Arthropoda; Insecta; Diptera; Sciaridae.
AAAUUUAUAUAAAUAUUCCAAAACACACAGUAGGCUUAGUCAUUCGUCGAUUGUUUCUCGACCUAUACGCUAUUAUCAUAAACAUGAAAUCCAUCUACGUUUGUGUGCUAAUUUUGGUUUUCGUGGCGUUCUUGGGUAUAAUUGUCAAUGUCUGAUGAACCAACAUUAGUCGGAGGUAACCGUUGUACAUGGGGCCCUAGUUACUGGUGUAAAAAUGCAGAAACUGCAAAAGAAUGUAGCAUAACCGCUGAGCACUGCGCGGAACGAUAUGGUGGAUUUAAGGAACAGUAAGCCAGUACUUGGGAGCAUCAAACUUGUGUUAUGAUUAAAAUUCAGUUUUUUAAAUAAAAACAAUGUAAAA